Molecule: ribosomal RNA, 253 nt
Filed under: uncultured bacterium
Lineage: Bacteria
Description: partial 16S ribosomal RNA
Rfam family: Bacterial small subunit ribosomal RNA
Source: RNAcentral
UACGAAGGGGGCUAGCGUUGCUCGGAAUGACUGGGCGUAAAGGGCGCGUAGGCGGUUUAGACAGUCAGAUGUGAAAUUCCCGGGCUUAACCUGGGGGCUGCAUUUGAUACGUCUAGGCUUGAGUGAGGAAGAGGGUUGUGGAAUUCCCAGUGUAGAGGUGAAAUUCGUAGAUAUUCGGAAGAACACCCGUGGCGAAGGCGGCUCACUGGUCCGGUACUGACGCUGAGGUGCGAAAGCGUGGGGAGCAAACAGG